RNAcentral lists this non-coding RNA (186 nucleotides) under Gammaproteobacteria bacterium. Its description in RNAcentral is "6S RNA". It matches the Rfam family "6S / SsrS RNA". From Rfam's summary of the family: E. coli 6S RNA was the first non coding RNA to be sequenced, but its function was unknown until recently. It consists of 184 nucleotides that fold into an extended hairpin structure with a large single-stranded internal bulge. The 6S RNA specifically associates with RNA polymerase holoenzyme containing the sigma70 specificity factor. The record is from RNAcentral. Lineage: Bacteria; Pseudomonadati; Pseudomonadota; Gammaproteobacteria.
UGUUUCCUGCGGUGAACGUAUGUUAAGGCACAGUCUCUUGACCGUAAUUUAAUACUGCUAGGGGGCAAAACGUGGGGUGGCGUGCAGGCCAUGUAUUUUGGAAGCCCAAGCUCCGCUACUAUCUGCCUUCCACUUGAACUUCUAGUUCAAGAGCAUUCGCCCGUAUACGUCACUCGCGGGGCAACC